ACCUGUAGAAAUUGUUGAGGCGGUGAAAUGUUCCCUCUCAAAAUUCCCUCUUUUUUUCUAGGAUAGGUAAUGAACCCCUUCAUCACUCUCCCCGAUUUUCACUCUUGCACAGCCUUCUCUCACAAUUCAUUGUUCUCUUCCCUCACAAUCGCACACCCGCAUAGACGUUUGUUGAUCGUCGGGUUUCCUCCGUUUGCUGCGGCUGUGCGAGACCAGGUGAAGAUUCGACUAAAAAAACUUAUAUUAUAUGAAGUGAUUUAACUACUGAUGCGAAAUCGAAGUAGAAGAAGAAACAGAUAAAUCUCAUGAAGGAAGGUAAUGCUUCAGUACUACAUUGAACGGCAAUGCUUAUUGAAGUGUACCCGUCAGAUUAUCAUGCAUACAUGGAAGUCCAUUAUGCAGCUGGUUUAAUUCCAUCUCACACUUGACAAUCCAGUAGUUCCAAUUGGUGGGAUAGAAACAAUCUUGGUAAUCAAGGUUUCUGCAGAGUCAGCUAACCAGUUUGGGGAACUGGUGGCUGAUCCAGUUACCAAUGAACUGUUGCAUUACACCGAGAAACCUGAAACUUUUGUAAGUGAUCGAAUAAAUUGCGGUGUUUAUAUAUUUACACCAGAUUUUUUUAAUGCAAUUCAAGGUGUUUCCAUACAACGGAAAGAUAGGGGUCAGUGAUAAAGACUGAUGUGCCAUAGAGUUGCAUGUAGGUGGAAGUUUUUCUAUGCUAUGGUCAUUACAUGCAUUUCAAAAUAUUCUGAGACUUAAUGGAAUAAAUAUGGCAUGGUGCUGUACAAAAUCCCUAAUAUUUCGCACAUAUCUGUGAAUUUUCUAUGUGGGCCAUUUAAGUGCACUUUUGCUGAGGGAUUCUACAAAUAAUUGGAUUUACAUUCUUCA
Camellia sinensis is the source of this 888-nucleotide non-coding RNA. Lineage: Eukaryota; Viridiplantae; Streptophyta; Magnoliopsida; Ericales; Theaceae. The record is from RefSeq and is a predicted model, not a curated record.